This 439-nucleotide ribosomal RNA is filed under the name uncultured bacterium. RNAcentral's name for it is "partial 16S ribosomal RNA". It matches the Rfam family "Bacterial small subunit ribosomal RNA", at positions 338 to 795 of the family's 1533-position model. The record is from RNAcentral.
CCUACGGGUGGCAGCAGUGAGGAAUAUUGGUCAAUGGCCGGAAGGCUGAAGCAGCCAAGUCGCGUGAGGGACGACUGCCCUAUGGGUUGUAAACCUCUGUCUUUGGGGAACAAAAUGACGGUACCCAAAGACGAAGCUCCGGCUAACUACGUACCAGCAGCCGCGGUAAUACGUAGGGAGCGAGCGUUGCCCGGAAUUACUGGGUGGAAAGGGGCGUAGGCGGGGGAGAAAGUUGAAUGUUAAAUCUACCGGCUUAACUGGUAGCUGCGUACAAAAACUCUUGGCUUGAGUUAAGUAGGGGCAGGCGGAAUUCCUGGUGUAGCGGUGAAAUGCGUAGAUAUUAGGAGGAACACCAGUGGCGAAGGCGGGCUGCUGGGCUUUAACUGACGCUGAGGCUCGAAAGCGUGGGGAGCAAACAGGAUUAGAUACCCGAGUAGUC